UUGACUCAACUAAAAGAAUCAAGAUGUUAUAUGUAUUUGUGGACAUAAAGCUGGAUGCCGCACAUUUUUUCAAUACAGUCAGACACAAUUUUGAAGCUGGAAAGUCACUUGCACUUUUGAGCACAAUCCAGUUUGUGACAACACUUCAAGCUGUAUAUCAAGACCUGUGUAAAGAUUAUCAGGUAGAGAUUCUGCAGUGUAAACCAUUGUCACCUGGAGAGAUUCUGGGCUGCACUGCUCCUAGAAUAAAACACAAGGAUGCAUUCAUAUACGAUCCCUAUAGCAAAGUGUUUUCCAGGGAAUAUUACGAUAUUGAUGCCAUGUUUCAAGCGAGGAAAGACGCCAUAACUACAGCAUCAAGAGCUAAGAAAUUUGGACUCAUUCUGAGUACAUUAGGAAGGCAAGGAAGUCCAAAGUGCUAGAGAAGUUAGAAGAACGAUUCAGCAAGGCGGGCCUGGAAUAUGUAAUUGUACUCAUGUCUGAAAUAUUUCCGGGUAAACUUGGAUUGUUCGAGGACGUGGAAGCGCUCCGGCCUCUCUAAUAUACGAUAUACGUCAUCCUUUGGUGAAAUACAACCCCCAACGGAAAUCUUCCCACAUCUACCAUGGAAACUGGUUUAAGAUACUACCACUGUGAUCAUGGAGGAUGAUGAAAGGAAAAUGAAGGAGACA
Pocillopora verrucosa is the source of this 671-nucleotide non-coding RNA. Lineage: Eukaryota; Metazoa; Cnidaria; Anthozoa; Scleractinia; Pocilloporidae. The record is from RefSeq and is a predicted model, not a curated record.